AACUGAUACUACCUGCGGGACCUGCGGAAGGAUCAUUAGUGAACGCCCUCACGGGCUUAUAACUAUUCCAAACCUCUGUGAACCGUGCCCUUCGGGGCUAUUUUACAAACAUGGUGUAAUGAACGUCAUAUAUCAUAACAAAACAAAACUUUCAACAAUGGAUCUCU
This 167-nucleotide unclassified non-coding RNA is filed under the name soil metagenome. Its description in RNAcentral is "partial contains 5.8S ribosomal RNA, internal transcribed spacer 2, and large subunit ribosomal RNA". The record is from RNAcentral.